GCUGGGACCACCUUCCCAGAUGGGAGGACAUGGAAGCUGGACCUGGAAGGAAGGGGCAAGAGCUGAGGGAAAUCCAAUCUAAGCAGAAGGAACUUCUCGUGGAAAAGCGUAUCUUUACUAGAAGCAUGCUGAGCUUCCAGAUUCAGCAGAGCUCCUCUUAGCUGUCUGCCAGACAGUGUUGGGGGCAGCUGGAAGUGUGUGAAAGGGGUCUCCCAUGGCACACCAAGAAAUAAGACCUUCUCCAUUGGAGAGUGGGGGGCCACGGAGGUUUUGUUCACCUUAGAAACUUCACACUGCAGCAAUGAGGGGGAGAGCAAGGUGGACAGAGCUGCUGUGUCUUGGGGAGCCCAAGUAUAGCUCUCCUGAAUGCCAAGGUCUACAUGCAGGGAGAAGCUUUACCAAUCAAGUGGUCCCUCAAGUCUAAACAAGUGGCACCGUGGCAGAAGUUACUGACAAAGUAGCAGGGGCGGCUCCUGGGCGGGUGCAGGGACAGUGUGCAGCUCUCACAUCAGUGUGGGAGGUCAUCGUACCUGCUUUUCCAGAUCACCCAUCAAGCCAGAAGAAGGCCCCAUGUUGGACUGCAGCUCUGAUAAGUGUGCCAGUCAUUGGGAUUAUGAACCAUAAUGCCCAUCAUCAGUACACAGUGGGGUUGAACCAGCAGCAGCAGCACUUUCCUUUUGUGAUCAAAGUGCCCCGGAUGAACACGGCCAUAUCUGAUAUAAAUUCAGUGUUGAUGUCUCAGAGCAUUUAUGAGAGCAACUUAGAGCCAUGAUGAAGAGUGAAGCAGGCAUGGCCGUUAGCAAUAUAAAGUCAUCUCUCUCUCCUACAUUUCAUACCUAUAUUGGCAAUAUAAAGGAAUCUCUCGCUCCUUCCACCCUUCUUCCACCCUCUUCUAUCCCUCUUCCACCCUUGAAAGGAGACAAAGCCAGUUCAUAUUCCAGAUGGGGCCACAGGUAGCACGUUCCUUCCCAGGUUCCUUCCCUGUCAUCACUCUGCCCACUCUUGUGCUCUUUCUAGCUCUAACUGUCACUCAGUUCCAAUUCUGGCUGCCACACGCCUUAGCCACACCAGGCUGCACCAUCUCAGCAGCAGGCUGUGAUAGGAGGACUGGCAGAGGUGGUUUACCUCAAGAGAUUCCUAUUGGAAGAGGAAGGAAAUAAGGAAGAACUGGCAAUAUAUGUAUAGAAUAGGCCUAUCUGUAGUGAUUUAGGAUAGAAUGGGGGAAUUGAAAGGAUAAGGAGGAGAAUUAACCCACCAGCACCUCCGUCAAGCUCUCAACAUUGAUAGAAGAAAGAAAUCACAACGAGGCAAAGACAAAGCCUUGCUUUUUAAGUGAGCCACAGCAGAAUGGACACCUGUCUAACAGAGUAAGAGCUCCAUGGGGAAAAGUCCAACAGCAUCAAGAUAUCCCUGUGAUCAAAACCAGCAAAUCAGCAGAGAUUAAAGUGCGGUCUCGCUCCAGAGAAUAAGAGCUGUGAAAGGAGCCUCGAGAUGUGGGGGCGGCAGACAGAGCCUGCACCUCGUGGAGCAGCGGAGGCAUGAUGGAUCCUUGCUGUGACUGGUGCCUGGACAUCCCUGCCAACCACCUUGGAGAAUGGCACCUUCUGAGUGUGCCUGAACCACUCUUCUCCUUGGCUACCACUCUGAGUACUAUCCCUAGAGACUACUGGCCACACACAUCCACAGUCUCAAUGUCCACAGAAGACAUUGUUUUGCAGCAUGCAAAAACAAUCUGAAAGAUGAUAAAAAGCAAUUUUCAUAAUUAAUAAAUUUCUACCUGCUGAUUAGGAAGUGUUAGAAAUAAAUAAACAAACAAACAAGUGUAAUUGUGACAUUUUGGCAAGGGUUCCAACUUAAGGACUGAAAUGUGCCCUUGCUCUGACUGUAUCUAAUUCAGUUCAAUUGAACAAACAUCCAUUGAAUAUCUAUUGUUUGUAAAGCUCUGGGCUAGCUGUUGUUCAGCAUAUGAUCUCUGUUCUCAGGUCAAAACAAAUGAGGCAGAAAAAGCUGAAUGCAUGAGAUGAAAACAAAAUUAAAAAUAAAACAGCCUUCUUCCUGGAGAUUCUAAUUCAAUAGGCUGGAUGGGGCCCAGGCAGCUAUAUUUUACCAAGCAUCAGCUCAGCCUGGUUCUGACCAGCAGGCAAGCACUCAGAAGGAGGCCAUCACUGUCUCUAAUUGGUGGUUGUCACAAAAAGCUGCAAAGGGGAGGUAUAGUCACCUUGAGAUAUUUCAACAACAACUGCAUGUUAAGUGCCUUGAAGGCACAGGUCAGACUUGGGCAAGUGGAGGACACAGAAGGGGGAUGUUUCCAGCAAGGAGCAGAGCUGUGGAGGCCGCAAAGUGCACCCUGAACGGCUGGCCCUCUUGAGAGAUGUCAAGAAGAACGUUGUUGGAACAGUUCAUUUCUAAAUGAACUCAUCAGCCUUACUUUUUUCCAUUAGUUCGCAUUUGGCCUCAUUUCUCAAUCCAGAAUGAUGCAAAGGAGCCAUAAACCUGAAUUAAGACAAACAAAAGUGACAUGGAUAAAUUUUCCUUGGACAUCAGAGCACCAGGGUUGAGAGAGGAGAGAGGAGGGCUCAUGUUUCAACUUGAGGCUUCCGCAGCUGCGUCCACAGCUGCGCCGCCAAGUUCAGAGUUGAGCAUUCAUGAGUGUGUGUCUUGUCAUGAACCAGGGGCCUCACUGUCACCACUAGGAGGACACACCAUAGACCUUCCUGGGCAACAAGAAAAGCUGAGCCACACUCUGCAAAUUCCAAAGGCCUGAGAGAAGUCCAGAGUCGGGACUUUUGAGGAAAACCAGUCCAUGCUAAAAAUUUGAAAAAUACAGAAAAUUAAGAAAAAACAGCAAGGCCCCAUAAUUAUGUAACACAGAGACUACCAGAAUAAUUAUGCAGAAAUAUUUCCUGCAUUUUUCCUUCAUGCGUUUUACAAGAUAGUUGGGACCACACAUUUUUGUAUUCUGCUUUUUUAAAUGGUUAACUAUUAUAGUAGAAGAAUUCCUCUUAUGUGAUUACAAAUAUAUCACAAAAUUAUUUCAAUAACCAUAACAUUUUAAC
Molecule: long non-coding RNA, 3056 nt
Filed under: Homo sapiens (human)
Lineage: Eukaryota; Metazoa; Chordata; Mammalia; Primates; Hominidae
Description: HSALNT0340539
Source: RNAcentral